This 73-nucleotide transfer RNA is filed under the name Solirubrobacterales bacterium. RNAcentral describes it as "tRNA-Gln". It matches the Rfam family "tRNA". From Rfam's summary of the family: Transfer RNA (tRNA) molecules are approximately 80 nucleotides in length. Their secondary structure includes four short double-helical elements and three loops (D, anti-codon, and T loops). Lineage: Bacteria; Bacillati; Actinomycetota; Thermoleophilia; Solirubrobacterales. The record is from RNAcentral.
UGGGGAGUGGUGUAGUUGGCCAGCACGCUAGUUUUUGGUACUAGAGGAUCGGGUUCGAAUCCUGGCUCCCCAA